Molecule: ribosomal RNA, 591 nt
Filed under: Triticum aestivum (bread wheat)
Lineage: Eukaryota; Viridiplantae; Streptophyta; Magnoliopsida; Poales; Poaceae
Description: partial small subunit ribosomal RNA
Source: RNAcentral
AUGGCAAUGCCGACAUGUCGUCCCGGCGCAAGUCCUUUUCUCUGUAUCUUGACCCCGGACCUUUUUUUAUGUAUCUUCAAAUUGGCUCUCUCCCCUCUCUUUUUUGGAUUUCACGCUUCAACUGUUCGUGACCUUCCUCCCAAGUCUGCUUCCGCAUUUUUGGUUGGUGAAGCAUGCCAUCGUUCUUCAUUUCAAUUCAAAUCAGACAUGGGUCGGUUUCGCGCGCGAGCACGGCAGCCCCUGAGCAACAUUUCAAUGCUCGCACUUCCUAGGAACCAGGAGCCCCACAACCACUUCCCUUUCUUCAGCUCGCUGCCGAGCGUCUCCAGCCAAGACGAGACGUCGGUAAGCCCUCCCCUUCUUCCUCCAUCUCUCUUCUCUCUCCCGUUCUUUUCUCUAAGAGCUCUCUCUGUCUUUUAUUUUUCUGCAGAGAGAUGGCCAUGGCCGCCCGAUGCCGGAGCACCGCCGGCCAAGGACCUGCCGCCAUCCAGACCCCCUCCACGCCAUCUCCAUCUCACCGAAGACCUGCACCAAGUCCCAUCCAGCGCCUUCGCCACCCUUCGGCCCCCACCCCGUAGGUCUGCAGCCUGA